Aegilops tauschii subsp. strangulata is the source of this 420-nucleotide non-coding RNA. Lineage: Eukaryota; Viridiplantae; Streptophyta; Magnoliopsida; Poales; Poaceae. The record is from RefSeq and is a predicted model, not a curated record.
AUUGCUGCCCCGCACGAGGGUUUCUUCCGCCGCCGUGCCCCCAUCCCUCCGCCGCCGCCGUCCCUCCACCCUGUGGUACCCGUCCUCGACCCGUGGUCACCAAAUCUGGACGAGAUCGGCAGGAUCCGCCGCAUGUCCCGCGACACCUAGCCGCAGCUGCUCGUCGUCCAUGCGGGGAGCACGGACGAGCUGCUCGUCGACGUCCAUCCCGCAGCCCCGCUGACAACCGUGCCCAGCCUCCUCGACAGCGCGCCUCUCCAACUUGCCGCAUGGGAUUUCUAAUAUUCUGACAAGAGUCAAACUAGCAAUCGUGAAGAUGGAGAAUUCAUGCAACUCCAUCUUACUUCAACCCUCAGCCAUCUAAUUGGUGGUAUGGUGUGCUUCUGAUGGUAUUUCACGGCGUUUGUACCAGCAGCAUAG